RNAcentral lists this ribosomal RNA (460 nucleotides) under uncultured bacterium. Its description in RNAcentral is "partial 16S ribosomal RNA". It matches the Rfam family "Bacterial small subunit ribosomal RNA", at positions 338 to 795 of the family's 1533-position model. The record is from RNAcentral.
CCUACGGGCGGCAGCAGUGAGGAAUAUUGGUCAAUGGACGCAAGUCUGAACCAGCCAUGCCGCGUGCGGGAAGACGGCUCUAUGAGUUGUAAACUGCUUUUGUAAGAGGGUAAACGCAGCUACGUGUAUCUGUAUGGAAGUAUCGUACGAAUAAGGAUCGGCUAACUCCGUGCCAGCCGCCGCGGGAAUAAGGAGGAUUCAAGGGUUAUCCGGAUUUUUUGGGUUUAAAGGGUGCGUAGGGGGGAGGGUAAGUUAGGGGUGAAAUCCCGGGGCUCAACCGCGGAAUGGCCUUUGAUACUGGUCGUCUAGAGAGUAGGAGCGGUAGGCGGAAUGUAUGGUGUAGCGGUGAAAUGCUUAGAGAUCAUACAGAACACCGAUUGCGAAGGCAGCUUACCAAGCUACUUCUGACGCUGAGGCACGAAAGCGUGGGGAGCAAACAGGAUUAGAUACCCGAGUAGUC